CAUUUACCGAAAGCAGUCCCCUAUGGUUCAACUUCUCGUUCAUUCUCACCCGGCCUGAAUUCGGCAUCUAUAAAAUGGGGGUGAUCCUGUCUCACAGGGUCACUGGAAGGAGAGUUUUCUACUGGGUCUCUGGAGCAAGCUUUGCUCAACCAAAACAGGCUGCCUUUCAUGGUCUCACACAGCCAGGCAUGGAACAGGCAGCCACUGUGUUCCUGAAGUGAGACCAGCAUCUGACCGUCUAUGAUCUGGGCUGGACUCACAACAUGGACAAUGUGUGAGGAUGGACGUGUCCGGGGGCCACCUGUCUCUGCAUCUUGGGCCAUUCAGAGCUCCGGGCCAAGUUGUUGUGAAGAACGACAUUUCUCUGUAGGCCGUUAUGGUGAAAAGGAGUUUAGCAGACAAGGGCUCAGGACAUGCCCCUUCUGUGCCCUGGCAGAGUGUGAUGUCAUCAGCAAAGCCAGCAGGUAUGUAGGGGGUCAGAGGACAGGGUGUCAACUCUCAUCUCCUCACCUUAUUUGAGACCGUUUCGUUGCCGGUGUGUGUGCCAGGCUACUGAGGAUUGCCCUGUGUCUGCUUCCCGUUCCCUAGUAGGGAUUACGUAGAUCUACACGGCUGCAUCUAGCUUGUACAUGGGCUUUAGGGGUCUGAACUCCAGCUGUCAGCUUCUGUGUCAAUCACAUUGUCUCCUGAACCAUCUUCCCAGCCCCAUACUCCUUGCCCUUGCUUUGAUGGUCAUCAAGGCUGUGGUAGCGGUCACGUGACUCUAAGUCCUAUUCUCUUUGCCGUAAGGUCCUCCCUUCCGUGACUGCACUGCGUGGCUUUUCCCUGUUUUCCUGCGGUUGGACUUCAGGGCCUUGUGCAUAGGAGGCGAGCACUCCAACACUGAGAGACACUGCCCUCGAUGGCUGUCUCUGAAUCAGAUCCGAUAACCAAACACAGGCAUCCCCAUCUCUAAAAACCUUCUGAGAUUGCAUCGGAGAUAAUGGAAGGCGCCUCCGCCUCUGGAGUUUAAAAGGAGUUUUGCCUAGCAAGGAGCAUUAGCAGCCCUCAAACCUUCGAGGCGGGAGAAGCAGGCUGUGAGCUGAGCCUUAGGGAAAACCUCCAGUCCCCAGAAUCCUUCUGGGUCCCCUCCACCGUUACCAAGGAAACCAACAAAUCGGGAAGCUCCUUAGCAUACCGCGCCAGUAAAAGAGAAGCAGCGUUCACCCCAUUUCUCUUCCCAUUUAAACUCUUUCCAAAGCCCAGUCCUGUUCGCGUGACUCUGGCUGGGGAAGGCUGAAUCGCAUCUGAAAGUCUUCCUUGCAAGAGGGUUAUAGGGAAAUUGGUUUUCUUUUCCUGGCUUCUUGGUAUAAAAAGGCACGCGUGAAGGAGGUUGGAAUAAAUGUUG
RNAcentral lists this long non-coding RNA (1387 nucleotides) under Mus pahari (shrew mouse). Its description in RNAcentral is "RIKEN cDNA 4933427I22 gene (MGP_PahariEiJ_G0006270.1)". The record is from RNAcentral. Lineage: Eukaryota; Metazoa; Chordata; Mammalia; Rodentia; Muridae.